Pseudophryne corroboree (corroboree frog) is the source of this 339-nucleotide long non-coding RNA. RefSeq lists it as uncharacterized. The record is from RefSeq and is a predicted model, not a curated record. The transcript is spliced from 3 exons. Lineage: Eukaryota; Metazoa; Chordata; Amphibia; Anura; Myobatrachidae.
AGUAUGGUUCUCCUGCAGCUCCCUUCUGACACAUGAUUACGGUUGGUGAUUAUUUUUUCCUGUUGUGCCUCCUUACAGACUGAGUGUCUGACACAUGUACAGAGCCCACAAGCUGCCAUGAGCUAUUUCUACAUGUAACUAGGUGACUACGCCUUGCAGCUUCCCCUACGUUAUAGGCUUUUUAACUUCAUUAUGUGAUCAGGCAUGUUGCCAACUUUGAAGGCCAUUCCACACAUCUGAGUGAUCUGGCUUGCCGUCCAGGUGAUUUAAGUGCCAAUCUUGAUAAAGGUCCGCAUAAGGACCGAAACGUCGAUGAAAUACGGCAUCAACAGUGAACCC